RNAcentral lists this long non-coding RNA (1808 nucleotides) under Sus scrofa (pig). RNAcentral's name for it is "lncRNA (ENSSSCG00030015281.1)". The record is from RNAcentral. Lineage: Eukaryota; Metazoa; Chordata; Mammalia; Artiodactyla; Suidae.
GUCUUUUUAGGGCCACACCCAAAGCACAUGGAGAUUCCCAGGCUAGGGGUUGAAUUGGAGCUAUAGUCACUGGCCUAUGCCACAACCACAGCACUAGCAGAUCUGAGCCACAUCUGCGACCUGCACCACAGCUCAUGGCAAUGCUGGAUCCUUAACCUGCUGAGCGAGGCCUGGGAUCCAACCUGCGUCCUCAUGGAUGAAAGACAGGAGACAAAAACACAGUAUUGCUAAUGUUUUGAUUGUAUUCAAAUUUUUAUUUUUUGAACAAAAAACUUAAGACAAUGAUUUUAAAUAAUAAACAUGGUAUAUUCUAGACACUUGGUUUUUUUUUUUUUUUUGGAUGGUUUAUUAAAUUGGGACUCCUACAGUUCUGUUGUGAUGCUUUCUUCAACAUUUAUAUUAUUUCUUACAGUUGUAUCAUCACUCUAAACUUGCUAAACAAAAAACAUCACUGUCUCCUUCAGUGAAGCUUCACUUGAAGGAAAUACUCCACUAUCACAUAAAAAACACAUAUACAGAACAGUCAUUUUUUUAUAUUUACAAACACAAGAAGUCUGUCCAGCCAUUUUGGUUUUGUGGCUACACUGCCCAUACCGGGAUCGGCAAAUAGCUAAGUAAUUAAUAAGCAAGAUUUCACUUCAGCAGUGCAAAGGAUGGCAUCAACCAAACUUCGUUAAGACAAACCAACAGAUUACAAACAUGGUCAGCAAAAUUCAGUUUGUGUGAUAGUGACUUAAAAAAAAAAAAAAAAAACUUAAACACAGAGUGGGUCACAACUAGACCGGUUUUCACUGUGCAAUUUUCCUCAGGGAACAAUACUACCCCCGUUUCACGCAGAAAGGAAUAUGCAUCAAAGCCUUUGUUCUGAAGAAAAUGCCCUUCAAACAAAUUCAUCAUAAGGCAAAGAAGAGAAAGGAACAAAAAAAAAAAAGAAAAAAGAAAAAAGAAAAAAGAAAAAAAAAGUGAAUGAAGCAGUUUGGCCCAGAGAAAGCUUGUAUAUUGUGUGUAUAGGCUGCAUAUACACAUUCACAGAUAUACCAUGAUUUCAACCAUGCAGAUACUUACUGGACAAUUAAAUGAAAUUGGCUCAGUGAGGUGAAAGAGUGUUCAUCAAAAAAAAAUAAUAAUAAAUACGUAGUUAUGGCUAAUAUGUGACACAUCAGGCUUGGACAUGGAAACUGGAGGAACUUAAAGAGUCUAAAGCUGCCAUAUGGCCAGUGUCAGCCCUGCGGGAGGCGUUCAUAUGGACAACAUGCCAUCCAAUCCUGAAGAAAAAGCAAAAAGUCGGCUACCGAAAAAAAGGCAAAAAUAAAAAAAAAAAAAAAGGAAGAAAGAAAGGCUUAUGCACUGUCCUUUACAUGUUUGCCUGUUUUUUUUUUUAAACAAAAACAAGUCCAGUUCACCACAAGAUAAGCACAACCUGACAAGCAAGUUUAGCGGCAUGAUGGAAGAGAAGAGAAACACAGCAUGCAUGUACAACCAGCACUGAUCUAGUCUAUUUUGUCAUACAAACUGGAAACAAAAGUCCAGUUUAAAUAAGACUAGACUAACCGUAAAUUAAAAAAAAAAAAAAAAAAAAACACACACAGUAGACUUAGUUUGAUACUGAUUAAUCUGAAGAGUAAAACUCAGCCUGUCCCCUCCUAAUACUCUACUGCAAUUUAUUUAUUGAUGGCUAGAAUAUUUAUUUACUUAAAAAAGAUAUUAAAUACCUGUAUCAUGAAAUUACAUUCUUUUUUUUUUAACAAUAAGACAUACUGUGUAAGAAAAUAGCUCAUGUGUGAAAUGUGUCUGAAAUGCAAUUUUCC